AACGAUAUUUUUAUGCAUUCCUAAUUGAAACUUGGUGGUGUUUCUAGAAAGAUAGUUCAGUUCAUACGCGUGAUAACUUUUUCAACACCGGGAACUGGAAGAACAUACAACAAGGAAAAGGCAUAGUUUCAUGCUUGUCCUAUAAACAAAUGAACAAGGAAAAAGAUCAAUAAAGAUCAAUUUUGCAUAUUCUAAACCAUAGUGCUGGGAGGUGUUUCGGUCGUGAUACCUGUUCCACCAAGCGUGGAACUUGAAGUAAAAGCCUGACCUUUAAUACCGGCAAAGGUGUAACAUAAACCAGUAAGAGCGAGCACAAUGCCGGUGGCAAUAAGACUAGUAGCCAUAAAGAUGCAACUGAGAAAGGUUACCACGGAAAAUAUAAAAUAGACAAGCUAAAAGAGUUAAUAAACACUGUAUGUAAAAGACAGCAGGAAGGCAACAAAGGAAUUAAAAAUAUCCAGAGGCAUGCUUUUUCCCCUGUGUGCCUUUCUUAAAAGAAACUAUAACAACUUACACCACGGUAAUAAUUGCUAGCAAAAGCAUUUGUAAAAGCCUGGAAUUUGUCUGAUACAGGGCAAAUACGAGAAAGGAAAGGAAGCUCAAUAAAAAUUAAUAGAACGCCCUCAAUGAUAGUCAAAGCUGAGAAAAGAACGACAAGGGUAACGUGAAAAAGGUUGACAAUACCUAGGAUAAUGCAAACUGAAGGUAGUAGGUUAGCAGAUCUGCCUUUUAAUGUUAAAUGUCAAUGGACCAUAAUUUGUGUGCAGUGAAAUGAGAAGUAAUCUGAUUCAAUAAACUUGAUUGUCUGCAAAAUAAAAAAAUUGAGGGACAUAUACAUUCUCAUCAAACCAAAAAUACUUUUGAACACUCACUUGCUACACCUUAACUCUUUAUGCUCAUAAACUCUCUUCACAGCUAUCAGAAAGUACAAAGCAAUCAAUACAAGAAGAAGAGAAUAUCACAAACAUUAAAAAGAAUAACCAAAUUACGCGAUUGAAAUUCUUUACAUACGAAAAAUUGAGAGAAUUCCAAGCCACUGUGCAUAAAUACUACAAUAAGUUAGUAACAUUUCGCUGUUAAAGCAACUGAUUUCGCAUACGAAAAAUUGUAGCUUUUGAGCUCUCCCAAAAACGUUGUCUUUGCUCUGUCAACUAUUAUAGACUCAAACAUGUUGAAAAGUGUAGUUCAGAAAUCGUCUUUGUUCUGAUGCUGGUUAGAUGUCAGUUCAUGUCAGUUUAUGAUGUUUAGCUCGUUGUUAUUUGGCGAAGCGAAAUUAGUAUUUGUUAUUCUUUUUAAUAACAAAGUGGCACGCAGCGUCAGGGUAACCCAAGUAACAGUUCGAAUAUGUACUAUAG
Molecule: non-coding RNA, 1355 nt
Organism: Schizosaccharomyces pombe (fission yeast)
Lineage: Eukaryota; Fungi; Ascomycota; Schizosaccharomycetes; Schizosaccharomycetales; Schizosaccharomycetaceae
Source: the annotation of a GenBank genome assembly